Long non-coding RNA from Lemur catta (Ring-tailed lemur), 4593 nucleotides. RefSeq lists it as uncharacterized. NCBI's taxonomy places the organism in Eukaryota, Metazoa, Chordata, Mammalia, Primates, Lemuridae. The record is from RefSeq and is a predicted model, not a curated record. The transcript has 2 exons.
GCCGCUGGAGGCUGACAUUUCAUACUCUGGGAACCCUGACCUGCUGCUUUUCCGGUUGUGAAUUGAACCUGCUUUUUCAUGCCCCAGAAGGAUAGAACAAUGAUCAUUAAUAAUCGGCAUCUUCUGGAAAAUCGGAAAUGGAGCCUCCGUGAUCCGAGGCCGCCCUUAACCCCAGCUGUGUGUGGCUGGUCUACGGAAGGCUCCGCAGCUGCCACACCCUGUGGCGACCAGGGAAGUGGGGAAGGAGCUCAUGUGGAGCUGACAGAGGUGGCAGCCCCUCCCAAGCAGCCCAAGACAAACAUGCUGUAGGAAGUUCCCACGCUCCCAGGGCCUCGCUCCUGGAGCUUCUGCAGUCACCUGCCCGAGGCUGGGGCUGUGAGGAGGGCGGGGCCUCCGCCUCCCGCAGGUGAGUCUGAAGUCCCACCACACCGGCUGGGCACCUAUUCCGUGCCACACAUUUUGCAAACGUUGUCUCACUGAUUCCUCAUGAUGAUCCUACUGUGGUAAUACUGUGAUCUUCAUUUUGCAGAAUAGUUAACCUGAGACUCAGAGAGGUUAAGUGACUUGCCCCCGGUUGCACAGCCAAUAAAGGGAAGAGUCAGGAUUUGGACUCAGCUUCCCUUGGUUCCUAAGUCUGUGCUCUUGAGUCUCAGCAUGUAGUCACUCAGCAAAGCUGUGCAGCGUGCUGCUGGGUGCCAGGAUGCAGACGUGCAGCGCAAUGGCCUGGUGGGAGUCCUCACGCCCCACGGCACAGCAGAACACCGUUAGCAGCGGCCUGCGGUUCCUCCUACAAAAUGGGCAAGUGGGUCCCCAAACCGACCUUUGGAGAAUAUGCUAGAAGGAGGUAAGGCAGUGGACACACACCCAGCCACGGGCAAAGGUGCGAGAGGAACACAGCAUGUCGGUUCCCAGAGUUCUGUUUGGUGUUAUUUUCCAUGAUCUCGGGUCGGGGAUGGUCCGGGAAGCGGUGAGGGUCCUGGUUCACUCAAGACCAGGGCGAGCAAGAGCAGGUGUCCCUGCUGCCACGAGCACCCCUUCCGAAGGGGGAGGUGAAUGGAAAUGGGGACCCCUAAGCCUCAGCCACACAGGGGCCCACCAGGUCCUCCUCUCCCAGAGGCACCCUGAGAAAUGUGACCGGCCUGGGAGCUCUCGGAGGGCAGGACUGUCCUUUAUCAGGCGACCUAGAUUGAGUGCCAGCUGUAUGUAGGCUCGGGGCUCCCAGGGGCAUGGAGGAGAACGUCUUGUCCUCAGCACCCAGCGCGGUGCCUGACUCACGGUCAAUGCACAGGAAGUGCUGGCCAAGCAGUGGGACCACUGGGGGUCAUCAGUUGUCACUGACCCCCCGCUCCUGAUGCUCCUAGGGCCUUUGAGGGUCAAUGGGCCUUCCUGUCUUUGAGGACCCCUGGAAAUGGCCACGUGGCUGCCUCACAGGGUCCCCCCGUAGCUGGCCCCCCAGAUGGGACAGUGGCCCGGCACCGGCACGUCCGUCUCGAGUGGCAGUAUCGAGGGAGCCCACAGCUCCUUCUCCUGGGCCUCUGUCGUGGCCAUGGUGAGGAUGGGCCAGGUCACUGGGUGGCUCAGCUCGGGCUGGAGCCCACGUGAGGGUCAGAGCCAGGAGGCAAGGGGACAGGCCUGGGCAGGGCGGGCCCUGGCACCGGUCUGGCUGGUGAGCUGGCUGGUGAGCUUCCCUACUCGGGGCCCCUCCCACCUCUCAGAGUCUGGAUUUCAAGGCAGCAGGUGUUCAAAAAAGACCUGUCCUCUCAGGCAGGUCUCUGACCAAGUCCAUCCUUGGCCAAUCUCCCCUCCUCGGGGCUCCCGGCUGAGGAAGGGGCGUCAGGCUUGCAGCUGGGACUUGAUUCUUGUGCCCCGAGCAUGGGACGGCCCCGCCCCUCAUUUACUGCACCGCCUGCCUGGACCUGCCCUCCACCAACCUGCCCUUCUGGACAACACCUGCCACCUACCCAGACUCACCCACCCAUCCCAUCUCAUCGUCCCCCAGCCACGCACGGGCACGGCGUCCCCCCCCCUCAUCUCGCUGUUUGUUCCCCACGUGCCCCCCGGCAUCCUGCGCAGAGCGUCCAUCCACUCGCUCUGCCGCCGCCGUGCACCUGUUCAGCACCCAACUGCCCACCUGGUGUACCUGCUUGUCCGUCACUCCCUCCAGCUCCUGAAGUGGCAGAGUGGACUCAAAGCAAGGCUAGAGAAGUGACAAAAACCAAGUUGGCCAAAAAUGAAUCCUUUCAGUCCCUGGCUUUGCACCUCUCCAGCCAGAGACAGCUGCUCUUCCUGUCCCAGAGGCAGAGGGGGUUGGGCGGGACGCAGGGGCUUCUGGGUCAAACCCCCGGCUGGACUUGAGUCGUGAGUCUGCGGUUUAUCAGUUGUGUGACGGUGGACGAGUUAACCAGCUGCCCCAUGUCCCUAGAGUGUCAAUGGUAAUACCAGAGCCUCUUUGCUGAGUCAUUGUAGCAAUGAAAUGCAGGCAAUAAAUAAUAUGUUACUGAUAUAAUUCAUCCUCCUUAUAGAGACUGCACUAUCUAAUUGUGUCUGAUCCUACUGAGGGGGAAAGGUUUAUUUUGCCUGUGAUUACUGAAUGCCAAACUAAUGAAAAAUAAUCUCUUUAUGCAAUUUUUCGUUCAUCCGGACCUUCUUUUUUCUUAUUAGCAUGCUCCCUGCCCAUUUUCAAUCGCGUUUUCCUUUUUUAUUUGAGCAGCACUGCUAACAUCUCUUUGAUAAAAGGAAAACAAAAUUUCCAGUUGAGAUAAAGGAAGGGCCAUUUCCUUUGUCAGCGCUCCUUGAAAGGAGCAUUCAGUGUUCAAUGUUAUUUUCCCACUGGAAUGUGAAGAGAGAGGUGUGAAAUAUUUGUCCAGAUCAUUUCUCAUUAAUGAGGCAUUCCAAUAACCACAAGCGCGCCGGCCCUCUCACCAGGCACACCCAGGAGGGAGCGACUCGUCUGACUAAUCUGUGUCUGUGGGAGUGAAAGCCCUUGCUCUCUGGCUGAACUGGGACACAGGCACUCAUGUUCCACUGGUGCGAUGUGUCUGACAGCGUCAGCUGCUUGCCCUGGCCACGGCGUGGCGGAGUAUGGCCUGGUGUGGGCUGUGGAGGUUUCUGCUUCCUGCUGCUGGGGCUGGGCUAGGUUAGAGGCUGAACCCGAGGCUCUGGUGUAUGCUAGGCUCCUUGACACGUGUGGCUUUAAUCUCUCUCCUGUGUGAGAGAAACAUGUAAUUGCCCCAUCUUAGAGGAGGAGACUGAGGGUCAGAGUGGCUAUGGGAGACUUACUCUAGGUCACACCAGUAAACACAUUUCAGGUCUGUCUGACACCAACAUCCAGCUCUUGCUGCCACAGCUAGAAGUGUAGCCAUUCACCUGUUCACCCUUCCUCCAUCCCCAGUGUGCUCCUGAGCCAGUGUGUGUCCAGGAAGGAUGCCUCCUGUGCCCGCACAUCCACCAUGGCUCCAAAAUGUGAUGAUGGCCUAGUUUGAGCUUCUCGCCUCAGUUGAGACACAGCCCACCCCUGCCUUCACGGUACCGGUGCCAUCUCCUCUUGGGAUGGGCUCCCACCUGGCAGGCUGCUGUCUUCCAGAGCACCUCUAGACACCUGUGACACCUGGCACGUCUGCACGAGUGACCACCGCAGGCUUCCGGCUGGGGAUUCGGACGGGCCUGGGCGUGGGAGCAGGCUCAGGGGGCCUCCAAAGCUCCUCGCCGCUUGCCGUUCACAUCCUCGUGUGGCCUCGUCCACCCCGAGGGCUGACCUCGUGACCUGUGGGACAUCGUGGGAAGGAUGGAGCAGGGCUCUCAAGGCCGUGUCACAAAAGGCACUGCGGCUUCUGUCUGGCCUUCUUCAGUGACGACGUUCGCUUUCUCGAGCAGCCCUCUGGGAAGGGCCACGCAGCAAGGAACCGAGGCUCCUGCCCACAGCCCUGUGCGCAGCCACCCUGGACGCGGGUCCUCCAGCUCCAGUGGAGCCUUCGGAGGAGGCGCUAGCGCUGAUCAGCGUCCCGGCUGCAGCCGCCUGGGGGCCUGAGCCAGCACCCCGAGCCACGCCACGCCAGGGUCCCUGACCCACAGGAGCUGAGAGUGGUCACGUCUGCAGCGUUAAGCCACUAAGUUUGGGUCAUUGUGCUGCAGCGAGAGAUCACUAAUGCGUGAAGUGUGGGUGCUGCUCUGUCCCGACUGGUGGAGUAACCUGGGUCAGGUUACCAGCACGGAGCCUCGGUUUCCUCCUCCGUCAGACGGGGUCACAGUAACCGCCUUGGAGGGGCUUGCCGAGAACGGAGCGGGGCGUGUGCGAGGUGUCCCGCACUGUGCCCGGCUUCCGGAGGGCCCCGACUGCGGCUGCGGUUGUUUCUGUUGCAGUCUCGAUUGCUGUGUGGGCCUCGAUGUCACACCUGCCAGCAGGGACAGCUUCUUACGUGCCCUGACACACGCACUCACUCUCACACUCCCCGGGCCCAGGGCGCAGCUUACGGUGGGCUUUCUGUCCCUGCUACAGAACCAGCGAAUGAAGUGAACAGUUUCUUUUUUUUCAAAUUUAAGACAUUUUAAUUGUGGUAAAAUAUACAUAGUAUAAAUCUUACUAUUUUAGCCAUU